This is a long non-coding RNA of Homo sapiens (human), 1062 nucleotides long. Ensembl annotates it as tektin 4 pseudogene 2. Its record names the gene TEKT4P2. The record is from Ensembl. Lineage: Eukaryota; Metazoa; Chordata; Mammalia; Primates; Hominidae.
GCCCACUUCGCCAUUUUCCUCCGGAAGUGCGGAUCCCAGCGGCGGUCGUGUAGCUGAGCAGGCCUGGGGCUUGGUUCUAUGUCCCUGUAGCUAUGUUUCCAGUGUCCUCUGGGUGUUUCCAAGAGCAACAAGAAACGAAUAAAUCUCUGAGAGGUGCCCAGUGAAUGCAGGUUCCAGACAAAAGGUGGAGCCUGGCAUCCUGCCCUGCAUGGGCUCCAGCCUGCUGCCAUCUGGGGAAACUGAGUCAUGGCGAGGCUCAAGGAUGUUUCUCAGACCACACCAGUCCCUGAAGGUCCGCUGACCUCCCAAUCUUGACGGACAGUGAGAAGAGGUUCCCAGGCCACCUGCAAUAGGUUCUGGCUCGGCCUGGGUUGGGCCCCGCAGCGCCUCCACCCCAGAGACCCGGACCAAGUUCACACAGGACAAUCUGUGCCACGCCCAGCGCGAGCGCCUGGACUCGGCCAACCUGUGGGUGCUGGUGGACUGCAUCCUUCGCGACACCUCCGAGGACCUGGGACUCCAGUGUGACGCCGUGAACCUGGCCUUCGGGCGCCGCUGUGAGGAACUGGAGGACGCGCGGCACAAGCUGCAGCACCACCUGCACAAGAUGCUGCGGGAAAUCACAGAUCAGGAACACAACGUGGUGGCACUGAAGGAGGCCAUCAAGGACAAGGAGGAACCUCUGCACAUAGCCCAGACCCGGCUGUAGUUGCUCUCACACCGGCCCAACAUGCAGCUGUGCCGCGAUGCAGCCCAGUUCAGCCCCAGCUCACACCCCCCAACACCCCCAAGCUGGUGAGUGAGGUGGAGGAGCUGUACAAGUCCAUCACAGCGCUGCGGGAGAAGCUUCUACAAGCGGAGCAGUCCCUGCGCAACCUCAAGGACAUCCACAUGAGCCUGGAGAAGGACGUCACUGCCAUGACCAACAGUCUCUUCAUCGACCGCCAGAAGUGCAUGGCCCAUCGUACUUGCUACCCCACCAUUCUGCAGCUGGCUGGCUACCAGUGAGCAGCGGCACGGUGCUUCCCCCCAAUCCCCCAAAUAAACAGUGCGUUAGCUUUC